This 497-nucleotide ribosomal RNA is filed under the name uncultured bacterium. Its description in RNAcentral is "partial 16S ribosomal RNA". It matches the Rfam family "Bacterial small subunit ribosomal RNA", at positions 28 to 507 of the family's 1533-position model. The record is from RNAcentral.
GAUGAACGCUGGCGGCGUGCCUAAUACAUGCAAGUCGAGCGAACGGACGAGAAGCUUGCUUUUCUGAUGUUAGCGGCGGACGGGUGAGUAACACGUGGAUAACCUACCUAUAAGACUGGGAUAACUUCGGGAAACCGGAGCUAAUACCGGAUAAUAUUUUGAACCGCAUGGUUCAAAAGUGAAAGACGGUCUUGCUGUCACUGAUCGAUGGAUCCGCGCUGCAUUAGCUAGUUGGUAAGGUAACGGCUUACCAAGGCAACGAUGCAUAGCCGACCUGAGAGGGGGAUCGGCCACCCUGGAACUGAGACACGGUCCAGACCCCUACGGGAGGCAGCAGUAGGGAAUCUUCCGCAAUGGGCGAAAGCCUGACGGAGCAACGCCGCGUGAGUGAUGAAGGUCUUCGGAUCUUAAAUCUCUGUUAUUAGUGAAGAACAUUUGUGUAAGUAACGGUGCACAUCUUGACGGUACCUAAUCAGAAAGCCACGGCUAACUACGUG